AUAUCAUUAUUCAGGAAAUUAUUUUAUUUUAGAAAUUAUUAUUUUAUUCACUAUUAGAGUGUUAUUUUCAUUAAUUUUUUUUACUAUUUUUGAAAAUAGAGUGAAAUCCAAACGCAAUAUUGAAGGAAAGUAGACAAAUAAGGUUCUUUGAAACAACAUUUUAAAAUUUGAUGCUUAUCUUUGUGUUUUGUCUUUUUCCUUCACAUAUUCUUGCUCACAUCCUAUAGGGAUUGCUGCCAUUGUAGAUGUCUAUUGACAUAAUAAUAAUUACAUAUUUAAAUAUUAUAGAUAUUAAAAUUUAUCAUUUUUUUAAUUUUAAAUUUAGAAUAUUUUAUUUGUUUUGAUAUAUACAUAAGGUUGAUUGGGUAAGUGCACCAAGAUGGUGAAUAGAAAAGUGGCCACAUACCAAAAAAAAAAACCAAAUUUUUCAUAUCUCGUGCGGGUUCUGAAAAUUCAAAAACGUGCUAGACUUGGUAACACCAAGCCUAGCCAAAAACAAUUUAAAAACAAAAGGUUCCUCAACGGUUUUUGAGGAACAUUAUGUUUUUUAAUAAAAAAUCAAAAGUUCCUCAAACGGGUUUUGAGGAACAUUAUUUUUCUUGGUAGCCCACGGGUUUUGGCCAUUUUCAACGUCAAAACUCAUGGAACAACAUCAAAAGGAAGCCAAUAAACCACAGAACCCGCACGAGUUUGUAAUCAUUUUGAAUUUUUCCAGCAUUAAGAGCAAUUUCAACAAUCGCAUCUCAUUGAAUAGGUAAGAUUUGAUUGGUUUGGUUAUUUUUGUUUGCAUUUUAAUUGAAGUAGGGAUUUUUAAUUGAUUUAAGUUUUUUUUGUAUUAAUUUGAUGUUAGGUUCUUCAAGUAAUCUCGAAAAAUGAAAUAAACAACAAAGACCUCCUCUUGCACAAGCAACACAAGCAAACUCUGUAAACAUUGUACAUGAGCAACAAGAAAACCCUCAAGACGUUGCUCCACAACCACAAAAUCCUCAAAAUGUUGCUCCUCAACAACCACCGCCACCCUGAAACCAUCCAUGUCGUCCAUUAGAUCAUGUAGAUGCCAGACAAAAGGAUCUCAUAAAUCACCUUACACAAAAUUGUGCCCAAAUUUCUAUAUUGGUGAAUAGGUUGAGGUCCUCUAGGCUUGAGCACCACGCAACCCUCACCAGAAUGCUAGAAACAAUGGCCAAUGGUGCAAAUGCAGUAUCUAGGGAGGUUACGAAAUGGGGUUCAUGGAGGGAUAGAUGUCGAACAUUUUAUGCGGAUGGGUUGUCAUAUGAUCAAGUGAAAAAAAGGGCAUACUUAAAGUUGACAUAUGUUCUCUUUUCACCGAUCCUAUUACCAGUAACAACCUAGAAUUAAAUAUGACUCGGUUUUCUAUAAAUUGGCGUGUUCAUGCUAGGAUGAAAGAAUCUUUUUGGGAUAGGUGGUAUACGGUCUUUGACCAGCCACCUUGUAAUAAUUGGGAGGUGCCUCUAUAUUUUUUGAGAAAGUUGUAUUGUGACUUUAUCUUCGACGAGAAGCCGAAUUACUUUGACAUCCGACAAUUUCAGGGUAGAGGGAGAGGCUCUGCGCUGAAUAGACCUGGGGCCCAUAGGGUGGUACAACCACAACAUAGGAGGCGUACAACUCCUAAACCCAUGGUUCAUGUCACUGUCCCUAUAUCCUUGAAGGAGUCUAUGGAAUUACAAACUCUUCAGGCAGUUGCAUCAUUGACUGAUGUCAUUGUUCAACAUGACACACAGUUGGUCAGAGAAGAGGAUGUACCAGCACUUGUGACACCUCCUUCAUUAGCGUCACCUCAUGCAUCAUUUGGCACGGGCCAGCCCAUUCAACAUAUGUGCGCCACUUGCCAAGGUGUAUGUUCUAGUGUAGACACUGACACAAAUGAGGAUGGUUCGACAUCUCAUUCGUGUACAUGUUCCGAGAGUAGAUGUCAUGCUUCCACCACAGAGGAUGUGGCCCUCACCGAUGACCUGAUCAAUAUGUUGUUCCCUCGCUAUCAGACAUAGGUGCGUUUAAUUCUGUUUAUGACAUGUUAUCAAUUAAGUGACUAAAUCUUAUAAAAAGAAAUGAAUUUUUAUUUUUAGAACAAUUUAAAGUGACAUAUAAAUAAAAUGCAUUGCAAGGUGCAGCACGUGGUGGGAGUACACCACAUAUUUUCCAGUCGACUCCAGGGUCACGAGUAGUUUUGCCACCAAAGGUAAAUAUUUAUAAAUUUGUUAAAAAUAUAAUAAUACAUUGGUUUCAAAAUACCUUUUGUUAAUUAUAUGUAUCAUUACUUGGUGUUUUAUAGGGCUUAUCAGGGGCUGAGAUGUCCCAACUUGAGGAUAUCAUGCUUUCGGCCAUUGACUUUGGCCAAGAUAGUUAUGCGGUACCAUUUAUAUUUUUUUAUUUUUGACUUAAGUGAUAUAUUAAAUACAUGCUCUUUUCCCUUAUGUUAAUUUUUUUUGGUUAGUUUACCCCAUCUGCCUCGAGCACAUCUCGUGUGAGAAAGCCAUCCUCUAGCACUCUGAGGCAGAAAAAGAUAUCCUCUCGGACACCCAAAUAACAAAAGAAACAUAUGGGGUUUACGGAAUUAAUGAAUGUACGUGAUGUCGAUGAGGUUCAGUAGAGGGAAGAGGUGAUAUCUUCAUAUUCACUUUGGAAAUUGCAUUCUUGCUUGUUCGAAAUAACUAAAUCUUUUUAUGUCUAUAUCAUAUGUUAUCAUUUUUCAUACUAGAAAUGGUAAUAGUUGCAUCAAAUUCAACUAGGCCUCCUAAGGUUACAGGAGAACUAUACGAGGCUUUGGUGUACAUUUGUUCUACAUAUGUUAAAAAUAUUUGUUCUAUCUAGUUUGUCAACAACUUUGGGUUAUCAACUUGUAUAAUUGUCUUUAACCUAUUACAACCCCCUUGCAAACUUCCUACAGAUGUUCUACCAUUCCAUUUCAUUAGAAGUUCUACACAUAUAAUAUGGGAUCCAACAUGACAAAGGGAAAGGCUAUGUCUGUCUUAGAUCAACUCUUUUUCACUAAGUGCACAACGAAGUUGAAACCCUCUUGUUAACUCCUUUUGGAUCACUUACCAUGGAUAUAGGAAAUGAUCGUAACUGAUUCAUCUAUGACUUUGCCUCCUAUGACCAUAGCACAUCCAUCUGAGGCUCUGAUAUGCUUUAGUUUUUUAGUCUAUUCAUUUUUAGUUAUUAUGUGUUAUUUGACAUGUAUGUUAUUAACUUGUAUUAAUGUUGUUUUACUACUUAUAAUCCCCUUCAGGACAUCCCAUAGAUCCUCAACCUCACCCAAUUGCAAAAGACAAAGAUGAGUCACCUGCAGAGCCACGUACUACUUUGAAGAGACUCGAUUUCGAUGAUCCGCACAAUCAUAGAUAUCGAUAGAGACAUAUAGUUGUAUUUGUGGUCAUUGAAGGACCAAUUUUUUUUAUAUAUUCGACAUUUGUAUAUGUAUAUAUCGACUUUGACAGACAUGGCACAUGCCACAUUUUUGUAACUAUUAUUGAUUUGGCAUCUAUGCCAUUUUUUGAUAUGUACACGAUUAUUGGUCAUUUUGAUAUAUAUGAAACUUGAUA
Cryptomeria japonica (Japanese cedar) is the source of this 3563-nucleotide long non-coding RNA. RefSeq lists it as uncharacterized. The transcript is spliced from 3 exons. Lineage: Eukaryota; Viridiplantae; Streptophyta; Pinopsida; Cupressales; Cupressaceae. The record is from RefSeq and is a predicted model, not a curated record.